GAUAACAUUGGAGUUCAUGACUACAUUUUGCUGCCUGCCUGUUGCAAAAAUCAUUGGAUGAUCUGUACAACUAGCAAAACAUUUCAAUCCUGGGCAAUGGAGGGAAUACUGCUGUGAUGACAUUACAAACAUUCCCAGACAACACUGUUCCAAUAACUGUGGAGUGUUUGCACUGAUGUAUGCACUCUAUGUUGUUAUGGAGAGGCGUUUUGAUUUCAGUGAA
Misgurnus anguillicaudatus (oriental weatherfish) is the source of this 223-nucleotide non-coding RNA. The record is from RefSeq and is a predicted model, not a curated record. NCBI's taxonomy places the organism in Eukaryota, Metazoa, Chordata, Actinopteri, Cypriniformes, Cobitidae.